AACUUUGGCGGCAGUAAUUAACACAUGCAAGUCGAGCGCACCUUCGGGUGAGCGGCGGACGGGUUAGUAACGCGUGGGAACGUACCCAGAUCUAAGGAAUAGCCACUGGAAACGGUGAGUAAUACCUUAUACGCCCUUCGGGGGAAAGAUUUAUCGGAUUUGGAUCGGCCCGCGUUAGAUUAGGUAGUUGGUGGGGUAAUGGCCUACCAAGCCUACGAUCUAUAGUUGGUUUUAGAGGAUGAUCAGCAACACUGGGACUGAGACACGGCCCAGACUCCUACGAGAGGCAGCAGUGGGGAAUCUUAGACAAUGGGGGCAACCCUGAUCUAGCCAUGCCGCGUGAGUGAAGAAGGUCUUAGGAUCGUAAAGCUCUUUCGCCAGGGAUGAUAAUGACAGUACCUGGUAAAGAAACCCCGGCUAACUCCGUGCCAGCAGCCGCGGUAAUACGGAGGGGGUUAGCGUUGUUCGGAAU
This 472-nucleotide ribosomal RNA is filed under the name uncultured bacterium. Its description in RNAcentral is "bacterial SSU rRNA". It matches the Rfam family "Bacterial small subunit ribosomal RNA", at positions 32 to 551 of the family's 1533-position model. The record is from RNAcentral.